CCAUUGGUUCAUAGUUAUGACUAGAAAACAAUAUGGCUGACAGGUGGCCAUUUUAGAUUUGAACAGGGAAAUAACAAUUUUGGAUAUACAAAUUUUAUCCAUUUUCAACAGGAAGAAGUCAAAUUUCAUUGGAAUAAUUCUGAUGUAAUUGUAAUUAGAUGUUUUGGGAAAAUAAGAUUCUGCCUCGCCCCAGGGGCUGGAGGGUCAUAGCUGAAAUGGGGAAAAUAUUUCAAGUUUUACAGAUCUUCAUCUCCAGACUCAGUUGUUGUACAGUCAAAUUCUCAUUGUGUGUUGAAAGAUCUCUAAAAGCUUCAUCCCCAAAUUGUAAAUUUCAGUAACUCAGGAUCCUCUGGUCUCCUUGAGGAGGGAGUAAAGUUUACUAUAUAUAUAUAAUAGUCUUCCUAGGAAAAUACUGUUAAUGAGGAUAUUUCGUGAUUUUGUUAUGUAAACUAUACACAUGGGGGCUAUUUCCGCAAUUGAUUUACCUUACUUUAUGUCCAAUAAAUAAACUGCAUAUCACAAAACCAUACGCCUGGGGAAAAUUUACGCGGUUGAAUGACUUCAGUGUAUUUUGUGUAAAUGUCCCCCUUGAGUAAAUGUCCACGUUUACAGUAACACAUUUUGAUACAUUUUGUCUAUUAGAUAUGAAAUGGUAGUAGUCAGAUUCUAACCUAUAUCACAGAGCAAAUUGGCUAAAUGACAUUGUAUUAUAAUUGUCUGUUGCAAAAUAAUGUAUUAGCAUAGUUCUUAACCUUUUUUUCUUUGAAGACAUGACAAUGCAAGUAAUAAAUACAAUUUUGUUUAAAUGAUAAUUUCCUCAUAGUGUCACAACAAUGGAAUGUGCCUCUCAGGGCUGACAGUAUCUUAUUGUCCACACUCCGUAGACUCUGUAUAUAUUUGUAUAUUGCAGUAUCUGUAUAUUUGUUCUGUAUUUUGUCAGUGUAAUGGUAUGAAUGUUUUUCCUUGACAUACAAACUUGCACUCUUGCAAAUGAUCCUGCAUGAGCCCAAGCAGCAAAUUCUGUCGGUGAAAAUGAAAAUGAUGAGCAUAAUGGGGAUAAAGAAUGCCAAGAAAGACGACCAAAAGUAAUCAAAAAAAGAAAACCGGUUGUGAAGAGAAGUGCUGCUAGUGUCUCAGAGCAGUCUGAUUCUGAUCAAGAUGCUGAGAAUAAAGAAAGACCAAAAAAAGUUCUCCACAAAAACAAAUUUACAAAGAAAUGUGAUCUGGACAGUGAACAAUAUGAUUCUGAUCAGGACCCGGAAUAUAAAGUUCUCAGUGAUGAUUCCAGAAAAGUAGACAAUUCUGAAUCAGAAAUGGAGAUAUCUAGUACAUCACACCCACAUUUGAAAAGAACAAGAAUACAAUGGCAGCCAGAACGCAGUGCCAUUGAAAAUUUGAUUUUACCCACGGUUAUUAAAAACAAGAAGCCACCGAGGAAGCAGUUGGUGAUGAAAGCAAAGAAACAAUCCAAAUAUUUGCAGAAUAUCAACUGGAAACAGAUAAAGUACACGGAUUGGUCCAUGUUUCAGCAGUAUCAGGGGGAAAAAUGAAAUAACAAAAAGUUUACUGAAAAUCUAGACAUUCUCAGAUAUAUAUAAUUAUGCAUAAAUACAUUUAGUAUUUAUAUCUGCAUAUUAAUAGAGGAGAACAGUACUCCCUUUAUCCUAGCCAGAAUGGCAUGGGUUGUUAUUUUUCAAUUUGGACUUUGUAUAUAAUUCAAAGAAAGUACACUCACAAUUUGAACUAUAGGUUCAAUGUUUUAAUUUGAAUUAAUUGUAUAGCUACACAGGCUUUGUUUGCUUUUUGUGAUACGUCCGUCGAAGUUUGAUAGGCAUAUUAUGCAUCUAUCCAUCUUGGUGUGUGUCUACAGUUCCGUCUAGAGAAUGUGAUAUGACCCUAUUUUUUUGUAUGAAUGUUCUUGUGGAGUCUUUCAAUCACAGUAUGGAUUCAAUUAAUGAAAAGAAUUUCUUUUUUUCCAAUUUUUCUACAUUUUUUGGACUGAUAUUUUCGGUUCAAGUUUUGGUGUGUGUUUCUCCAGCGGUCUAUAUGUAAAAUUUUGCCAUGAAUGUUCUUAUGGGUCUAAAAUGAUGAGUUUGAUUCAAUUUGUGGAAUUAAUUUCAUUUUUUUUUCAAAUUUUUGAUACAUGUAUGUUUUGGUGCAGGUUUCUUCAGUGGUCCAUGAUUCAAUUAGGUAAUGCUAGACGACUCUAAUUUUUGGCAUGAAUGUUCUUGUGAAGUCCUUCAACCACGGUAUGAAGUCAAUUAAUGAAACAAAUCUCAAUUUCUUCAAUUUGUUGACAUCUUGAUUGUGCAUUUGAUUCCAACGGCAAGAAACUAUGUUGAUUUAAGCAUUCAUAUGAAUAGUAAUAGGAGAUGCAGACAUUUUUUGCAGAAAAACACAACCAGUAGGUCAUCUCAAAUGUGUGACUUCAAAUAUAAUUCAGUCACAUCAUAGUACAUUGUACAUGUGUAAUGUAAACAGCUAUCAGCUGGAUUGUGUUUUACCGCUAUCAAAUCAUAAGAUGUAUAUCUGUUUCCUACUUGCCUUCUAUCCCAUUUCAUUGACAGCAAGGUCAAACUUCAAGGUCUUUAGGUCCAAGGAUCAUUGUCAAAUUUUGUAUCUUUUCUCUGAUGAUCAGUUUGUUAUGACAUUAUGAAGUAAAAGUUGGUCGGAGUUCAACAAGAAGUCAUGCAGGUCACUGGGUCAAAGUUCUGUUAGCACAGCAAAUAUGAGGAGGUGGAGGAAGGAAACAAUACUUGCAUCAUAGUACAUGUAUAAUGUAGACAGCUAAACUAAAUUUAAAAACAAAAAUGAAACUCAAGGGUAUCGUAAAAACUUGUUUUCUUGUUAUCAGAUUGCCUUAUACUUUUAUACAUACCUUUUAAAAUAAACAGUGUUCUUCAACUUA
This is a long non-coding RNA of Mizuhopecten yessoensis (Yesso scallop), 2908 nucleotides long. RefSeq lists it as uncharacterized. The transcript has 5 exons. NCBI's taxonomy places the organism in Eukaryota, Metazoa, Mollusca, Bivalvia, Pectinida, Pectinidae. The record is from RefSeq and is a predicted model, not a curated record.